Molecule: ribosomal RNA, 497 nt
Filed under: uncultured bacterium
Lineage: Bacteria
Description: partial 16S ribosomal RNA
Rfam family: Bacterial small subunit ribosomal RNA
Source: RNAcentral
GAUGAACGCUGGCGGCGUGCCUAAUACAUGCAAGUCGAGCGAACGGACGAGAAGCUUGCUUUUCUGAUGUUAGCGGCGGACGGGUGGGUAACACGUGGAUAACCUACCUAUAAGACUGGGAUAACUUCGGGAAACCGGAGCUAAUACCGGAUAAUAUUUUGAACCGCAUGGUUCAUAAGUGAAAGACGGUCUUGCUGUCACUUAUAGAUGGAUCCGCGCUGCAUUAGCUAGUUGGUAAGGUAACGGCUUACCAAGGCAACGAUGCAUAGCCGACCUGAGAGGGUGAUCGGCCACACUGGAACUGAGACACGGUCCAGACUCCUACGGGAGGCAGCAGUAGGGAAUCUUCCGCAAUGGGCGAAAGCCUGACGGAGCAACGCCGCGUGAGUGAUGAAGGUCUUCGGAUCGUAAAACUCUGUUAUUAGGGAAGAACAUAUGUGUAAGUAACUGUGCACAUCUUGACGGUACCUAAUCAGAAACCCACGGCUAACUACGUG